This is a non-coding RNA of Schizosaccharomyces pombe (fission yeast), 821 nucleotides long. NCBI's taxonomy places the organism in Eukaryota, Fungi, Ascomycota, Schizosaccharomycetes, Schizosaccharomycetales, Schizosaccharomycetaceae. The record is from the annotation of a GenBank genome assembly.
GCAAUUCAUCGGAUAAAAAAUUAAUUUCAUUCUCUUCUUCUUUAGUUGCGUAUUCUAGAAGAUAUUUGGCAGCAUCAAUAAAACCUGCAUUUACAGCCGUCUUUUGCAUAAUUUCGUUUUCAUUGAUUAUGAUGGCGAGAAUACGAGGAGCGAUUUGUUUUGCUUCUCGAGAUUCAAAAAAUAAACGGAUGAGAAUGGGAGUUACUAUCAUUUGAAUCUCCUUAGUUUGAUUUUUAGAAAGGAUGCCUGCCUUGUAUAGGGUCACUAAACAAGAAAUUGAGAGCAAGCGAAUACAAGGAUCAAACUGUCUAACGAGACAGAAUAACUGAGUAAUAUAUUCAUCACCAUUAGGCCCAAAUAUCUCUGAUUUAAAUAAGGCGACCUUAUCCUUGUUUCCCUCAAAAACAUUUUCAAUUUCAUCUAAAUCCAUAUCGCGAGGCGAAACGUGACCAUUUGAUUCUAGCCGGGUUUUCUCUCUUUGUUUAUAAGACUUCACAUGCUGUUUUAAAUAAGCAUUCAAAGUACCCAGGGAGUUAGUAAUUAAGAUAGAGCAAUCAUUCCAAAAUCUUCUUCUGGAAUACAAGCGCAAUUGGGUAGCUCUGUUAGUGAUUUGAAAUAAAGCAGAACAGAAUCGUGGAGAGUCUCCAACUUUAGAGUUAUAAAGGAUAAGACGAUGCAAAAUCUUAGAAGAUAAAUUUGAGAUACGCAACACAUCAAGAGAAGGUUGUUCUUUCAAGGGUAAAGUAUACAAGUCAAACAUUUGAUUAAUUAUAGAGUCCGAAUGUAACUGAGUGACAUAUUCUGCUGCUUUGUCAAAACUC